Molecule: ribosomal RNA, 600 nt
Filed under: uncultured Nectria
Lineage: Eukaryota; Fungi; Ascomycota; Sordariomycetes; Hypocreales; Nectriaceae
Description: eukaryotic LSU rRNA
Rfam family: 5.8S ribosomal RNA (bases 223-376)
Source: RNAcentral
CUUGGUCAUUUAGAGGAAGUAAAAGUCGUAACAAGGUCUCCGUUGGUGAACCAGCGGAGGGAUCAUUACCGAGUUUACAACUCCCAAACCCCUGUGAACAUACCUAUCGUUGCUUCGGCGGAUCCGCCCCGGUGCCUUCGGGCCCGGACUCAGGCGCCCGCCGGGGGACCCAAACUCUUGUAUUUCUUCAGUAUCUUCUGAGUAAACAAGCAAAUAAAUUAAAACUUUCAACAACGGAUCUCUUGGUUCUGGCAUCGAUGAAGAACGCAGCGAAAUGCGAUAAGUAAUGUGAAUUGCAGAAUUCCGUGAAUCAUCGAAUCUUUGAACGCACAUUGCGCCCGCCAGUAUUCUGGCGGGCAUGCCUGUUCGAGCGUCAUUUCAACCCUCAAGCCCCCGGGCUUGGUGUUGGGGCUCGGCCCGUCCCUAGCGGCGCGCCGUCCCCGAAAUCUAGUGGCGGUCACGCUGUACUCCUCUGCGUAGUAAUCUAACCUCGCAACGGGACAAAGCGCGGCCACGCCGUUAAACCCCCAACUUCUGAAGGUUGACCUCGGAUCAGGUAGGAAUACCCGCUGAACUUAAGCAUAUCAAUAAGCGGAGGAA